UUUUGUUGCUUUAUUUCAUUUUAUCAUAAUUAAUAAGACGUCCUACCCUAGACAAACGUUGCAAGUAACGCGCGGCGACCAGCUUACGAAGUAUUUCAAUAUUCAAUAGCUCCGUGACGGUUUGAAAACAUACAUUUCAUACAGCUAGGUGAUUUAGAAUCCAAAUCUAAAUUUUAGAUAACAAAAAAAAAACACAAAAAUAUGUCUUCUCUAUUUUGUGCUAUAUUGUGUGGUCUACGGCCGCCGACCGAAUCCAUAUUGUUACAUUGUAGCAUACUGUAUAACAGAACUCGGAGCUAGCAGGUGAAUAAUUUUUAGAAGUCACAUCCCUUAUACAAAAAGAAACUAUUAAUACAGAAACAGAUGGAUAUUUGUGUCUUACUAAUAAAAGUUGUUACAGUGGCUUGUACAAGAAAAAAUGGCGUAUAAUAAUUGAUUUAAACCUUAUGAUGUAAAGUUUUUGGGUUCCUUCAUUUUAUGAGCAACUAAUUAAAUUCUCGUAUUGCUAUUUGAAUAUCAUAAACAGCAAUCAAUAUUAGUGAUGAGCUAACUCUGCAAAUCUACUAGAUACUAAUGAAUUUGGGGACUUUCUAAUAAAGCUUUUGCAUAGGCUUACAUGUGAAGAAAGACUAGUGGAAUAAUGCCCAAACAAAGUCACUGAAAAUGACACAGAUUCUAGUUCUUCUUCUAAAGAACAGGAAAAUUCAAUCGUUACAAGUUGUGCAUCUCUCCCACCCGAAGAAAUGGAUGUCAACACUGAUAACUCCGAUC
RNAcentral lists this unclassified non-coding RNA (771 nucleotides) under Rhopalosiphum maidis (corn leaf aphid). RNAcentral describes it as "uncharacterized LOC113550502, transcript variant X1". The record is from RNAcentral. Lineage: Eukaryota; Metazoa; Arthropoda; Insecta; Hemiptera; Aphididae.